RNAcentral lists this ribosomal RNA (425 nucleotides) under uncultured bacterium. Its description in RNAcentral is "bacterial SSU rRNA". It matches the Rfam family "Bacterial small subunit ribosomal RNA", at positions 355 to 796 of the family's 1533-position model. The record is from RNAcentral.
UAGGGAAUUUUCCACAAUGGGCGCAAGCCUGAUGGAGCAACGCCGCGUGCAGGAUGAAGGCCUUAGGGUUGUAAACUGCUUUUCUCUGUGAAGAUUAUGACGGUAGCAGAGGAAUAAGGACCGGCUAACUACGUGCCAGCAGCCGCGGUCAUACGUAGGGUCCAAGCGUUAUCCGGAAUUACUGGGCGUAAAGAGUUGCGUAGGUGGCAGAGUAAGUUGGUAGUGAAAUCGUUCGGCUCAACCGGAUAUACAUUACCAAAACUGCUCAGCUCGAAGACAAGAGAGGUACCUGGAAUUCUCAGUGUAGGAGUGAAAUCCGUAGAUAUUGGGAGGAACACCGAUGGCGUAGGCAGGGUACUGGCUUGUUCUUGACACUAAGGCACGAAAGCGUGGGGAGCGAACGGGAUUAGAUACCCCCGUAGUCC